UUUAAAGUCUGGCCUGCCCAAUGAUUAUUUGAAUGGCCGCAGUAUCUUGACUGUGCAAAGGUAGCAUAAUCAUUAGUUUCUUAAUUAGGAGCUGGAAUGAAUGGUUUGAUGAAAAAUUAACUGUCUUUUUACUAUUAAUUUAGAACUUUAUUUUUUAGUAAGAAAGCUAAAAUUUUAUAUAAAGACGAGAAGACCCUAUAGAGUUUUAUAUUUUAUUUUCAUUAUUUUUAUGUUUUGUUAAUUGAAUUUAGUAUAUUUUGUUGGGGUGACAUAAAAAUUUAUUUAACUUUUUAUUUUUUUUACAUUGAUUUUUGAAUUUUUGAUCCUUAAUUUGGAUUAUAAGAUUAAAUUACCUUAGGGAUAACAGCGUAAUUUUUUUUGAAAGCUCUUAUUGAUAAAAAAGUUUGCGACCUCGAUGUUGGAUUAAAAUAUAUAUUUGGUGUAGCAGCUAAAAUAUUGGGUCUGUUCGACCUUUAAAAUUUUACA
Molecule: ribosomal RNA, 486 nt
Filed under: Isomira antennata
Lineage: Eukaryota; Metazoa; Arthropoda; Insecta; Coleoptera; Tenebrionidae
Description: partial 16S ribosomal RNA
Rfam family: Bacterial large subunit ribosomal RNA
Source: RNAcentral